RNAcentral lists this ribosomal RNA (308 nucleotides) under uncultured archaeon. Its description in RNAcentral is "bacterial SSU rRNA". It matches the Rfam family "Archaeal small subunit ribosomal RNA", at positions 526 to 834 of the family's 1478-position model. The record is from RNAcentral.
CGGCCGGAUGGGUCCUCGGUGAAAUCCCACGUCAAAGCGUGGGGCUGGCCGGGGAAACUAUCUGGCUUGGGACCGGGAGAGGCCGGGGCUACUCCUGGGGUAGUGGUAAAAUACUGUAAUCCUAGGAGGAGCACCUGUGGCGAAAGCGCCCGGCUGGAACGGCUCCGACGGUGAGGGACGAAAGCUAGGGGAGCGAAGCGGAUUAGAUACCCGCGUAGUCCUAGCUGUUAACGAUGCCCGUUUGGUGUAGCAUCUCCUACGUGGAGGUGCUGUGCCGUAGCGUAGGUGUUAAACGGGCCGCCUGGGGA